GGUUUUUAACUUAGGUUUGGGUGGCGGACGGGUGAGUAACGCGUAAAGAACUUGCCUCACAGCUAGGGACAACAUUUGGAAACGAAUGCUAAUACCUAAUAUUAUGAUAAUAGGGCAUCCUAUAAUUAUGAAAGCUAUAAGCGCUGUGAGAGAGCUUUGCGUCCCAUUAGCUAGUUGGAGAGGUAACGGCUCACCAAGGCGAUGAUGGGUAGCCGGCCUGAGAGGGUGAUCGGCCACAAG
Molecule: ribosomal RNA, 240 nt
Filed under: uncultured Fusobacterium sp.
Lineage: Bacteria; Fusobacteriati; Fusobacteriota; Fusobacteriia; Fusobacteriales; Fusobacteriaceae
Description: partial 16S ribosomal RNA
Rfam family: Bacterial small subunit ribosomal RNA
Source: RNAcentral